This 253-nucleotide ribosomal RNA is filed under the name uncultured bacterium. RNAcentral's name for it is "partial 16S ribosomal RNA". It matches the Rfam family "Bacterial small subunit ribosomal RNA", at positions 524 to 776 of the family's 1533-position model. The record is from RNAcentral.
UACGUAGGCAGCGAGCGUUGUUCGGAGUUACUGGGCGUAAAGGGUGUGUAGGCGGUUGUUUAAGUUUGGUGUGAAAUCUCCCGGCUCAACUGGGAGGGUGCGCCGAAUACUGGAUGACUUGAGUUCGGGAGAGGGAUGCGGAAUUCCAGGUGUAGCGGUGAAAUGCGUAGAUAUCUGGAGGAACACCGGUGGCGAAGGCGGCAUCCUGGACCGACACUGACGCUGAGGAGCGAAAGCCAGGGGAGCAAACGGG